RNAcentral lists this ribosomal RNA (253 nucleotides) under uncultured bacterium. RNAcentral describes it as "partial 16S ribosomal RNA". It matches the Rfam family "Bacterial small subunit ribosomal RNA", at positions 524 to 776 of the family's 1533-position model. The record is from RNAcentral.
UACGGAGGGGGCGAGCGUUAAUCGGAAUUACUGGGCGUAAAGUGUGCGCAGGCGGCGCCGCAAGUCGAGUGUGAAAGCCCCGGGCUCAACCUGGGAAUUGCAUUCGAGACUGCAUUGCUGGAGUACGGAAGAGGAGGGCGGAAUUCCCGGUGUAGCGGUGAAAUGCGUAGAUAUCGGGAGGAAUACCGAUGGCGAAGGCAGGUCUCUGGGCUGACACUGACGCUCAUGCACGAAAGCGUGGGGAGCAAACAGG